RNAcentral lists this long non-coding RNA (632 nucleotides) under Vigna radiata. RNAcentral describes it as "long non-coding RNA (VRAD_LNC007026)". The record is from RNAcentral. Lineage: Eukaryota; Viridiplantae; Streptophyta; Magnoliopsida; Fabales; Fabaceae.
AGGAAUGAAGGUUAGGGAUUAGAAGUAUUGAAAAGUUUAACAUAGAGUUACUGGCAAAAUGGAAAUGGAAAAUGAAUCAAAAUAUGGGGAAGUAGAGCUAAGGAUGAGUCAUAUGGUGGUGGAGAGAUAUACGUAAUGUUUGUGGAGAAGGCUAACUAACAGGGUAAUUGGUUCAAUAACAAUGCAAUUUGGAAAUCAGAUAAAAUUUUAGGAAGAUAAAUUGUUAUAUGAAAUAUCAGAUAAUGAUAGAUUUCCUAAAUUGUAUGCCAUAUCAAAUUGUAAGAACAAAAGCAUAGGACAACUGGGUGGAUGUAAUGAUGGGAACUGAAUUGAAGGUAUAUGAAAUAAAUCAGGAGGUAGUCCUAAUGCAAAUGAUAACUAACCAAAAUUUUAAAAGAGAUAAAGAGGAUACUUGGUAUUGAAGGUAGAAGUGGUAGGAGAUUUCAAAGUAAGUUCUGCAUACAACUUACUGUAGAAGAAUUUAAAGACCUAUUUGUUGAUUUACUAAAUCUAAAAUAUAUUCAGGUUCUAUUUGAAGAUUCUUAAUGAACAAGCUCUGCUAGGUGAUAAUUGGAUGAUAAUUGAAGAUUUAUAACAAAUUUUCUACUAAAUAGGUAACUGAUCAAAUGUCU